CAAAACUUGAAGAUUUUAUAUCGCCCAAAUUAUGAUCUCUCUGACCUUGGUUAGACAGUGUCCACCAUCUUAUUUAAACCAUAACGAGACCCUCCACAUCACCCUACACUCCCACUAAAGACCAGGGGCAAUAAGGCCCAGGUUUUUUACAGAGCCAUGUAGCUUCUCUGCCUUCCCUCAGACCUUACUAAGAGAUUCAUUUUUUCUGUGAUCUUCAUAUGUAUCUGUUGUAUAAAUUACACUUUCUAGUUUGCCAUUAUUCUUUCUGCAGGAAUUUCUCAAUGUUCCAUAUCUUCUCUGUUUUCUCUCCUUAGCUUGCAGGAGGACUGAAUUUGCAUCUUCUGCUGCACCAGGAAUACUUUUAGCACUUCAAAUCUAAGCCUGAGAUGAUUGAUUUGGUGGACUUACACCAAAGGUAUAUUUUGAUCAGACAGCUUCUGGUAUAUAAAGAAAACCUGCAGUAAAGAAAUAUCACCCCCACCUUUUUCCUAUGGGACGCUCUGUGCAAUCGUGACAGUACCUGAUGAAAUGGAAAGUUCUCUUCACACAUUUCAGCAGUGAAGAUCACAAAGUCACAAAUCCCUUCAAAAUUACAAGAUGUGCUGCAAUGACUUGAAACCUGUGGGAAAGCAAUUAAUAACCAACCAGUAGAUUCGAUGAAGGCAACUUGUACCUGAUGAGGUGAUGAAUGACCACAGCUGAAUUAUCUUUGUGGAGGGGCUGCGCUUCCUCUGGAAAGGUGGAAGUAGUUCAAACACCAAUGGGCAGACCUCCAUCCUAGAGAAACCUUAGAAGGACAACAGAGUCAAACUCUUCCCAGCAGUGGCAGCUGAUAUAACAAGGGACAGAGACUGCAGCUUGGGAGGUUCAGACUGGACAGAAGAAAACCUCUUUCCCCAGGAGGAUAGCACAGACUGGGAUGGGUACCCAGAGAGGGAUGAGAUCUCUGUUUGUGGGAGGUUUCCAGCCACGGAUAGAAGCUGGCCAUGGCUGGCCUACGCUAGCACUGUUCUGCUUUGGGUAGCAGGCUGGACUAGAGACCCUCAACGAACCCACCUUCCUGUCAUACUGUGAUUCUGCAAAAGUUUUGGGGAAGGCUGCAGCAAAUUCCAGUUCAGUUCAAACCAAGGUUUUCUCAAAGCAACUCCAGAAGCUAAAGUUUGAGGCCUGUAGCACAAAACCUCUAGAUGGGAUCACAGGAGUGGACGACAGUAUCUGUUUGAUUUCUGGCCAGCACAUCUGGCCCCAGAGAAGGAGACAAGACAAGCAGAUGCUACAAAGGAUUUGACAGCACAAACUGCCAAAUGGGUCUUUGUCCAGAGACCUUGCUCUAGUAACCCCUCCCCUAGGAAGAGAUGAGAGGGUAGGCAAUGCUGGAGACCACCUCUGCAGGGUACCUUGGCUGUAAUCCACAGCCCAACCUACUGUCCCGCAUGCAGCAUCGGAAUGUUCUAACUAAAUUUUCAUAUUGUCCGUUGUUUUCUAAUCUUCAAACAGACAGCAUUCCCUCAGGAGCAGGGCCUUAAUUGUCUACGUCAAGAGCCAGGUAAUGAAGGCUGUGCCUAGACCAAAUGCUUAUGGAAGGCAUGAGGAGCAUUAACUAAGGGCUUGUCCAUGUGGAAAGGUUGCACCAUUUUGUUUUCUUCACAGUCAAAUCAAAACAAACCUAAAAGGCUUUGCAAGCAUGUGAUCAAAUACAAAACCUGAAAGGAGGUUUUUGGUUGUGAAAUCAGUAUGUAAGUGUGAGAAGGGACAAACCAUCUUGUUAAUUCUCUUCAAGUUCUACUAAGACAUUUUAUUCUCUUUCUAUUUUCUCUCUCUGUUGCACUUAAGCAGUAUUUAACACCUUAUUUUACACUCUGCGUACUGUUUAGGUAUGUAAGCCCUCGCCUUCAUACAAGGGCAAACUUUCCAUUGAAAUUAUAUCCAUUAUUUAUAUUAAGAAAAAACAGUUGAGCCUAGUCCUGAACGUUGCUGAACAUCUUUCCAAUGCUGUAAAACCUCAGCUUUCAUUUACUUCAAGAUAAGUGGCUGACACACUACAUACUAUAGGAUGUUUUCCUGCUGUGUCUAUGCAAAGAAGAGCUUGGGUAAUUUUUAAAAUCUUAAUUUCAACUGUCAGUAAUAAUUUCAGCUCUGCCUGUCAAAGAGAGUUGAAGUCACAUGUCUGAGAGCAGGCUUUGGGUCCUGGAUACCACAGUAUUUAAAGUCAUCUGUUACACAAAAACAAUAUUUUACAGUUCUGCUGCUUUAAAAACAGCCUUUCCUGACUAUAAACAUGGCAUUUGGCCACUCAUUCAUUGUCUCACAGGCCUGGAUUUAAUUGCAACUUCAGCCUCUAGCCAAAAUACGCAUCUGAAAACAGUGCUAUUCAUCUCCAUGGAGUUAGCGCUGGACCACGCGUAGGCGGACAGACACUUCUCUCCUGUUUGCAAAACCUCCAGUCUGUCAUUCCACUAUUCUCUUUUCCUUUAUGUUCCUCUCUUUCCAAAAUGUCACAGUGUAUAGUUUUCCACCGAAGAACAAGAAGGGAUCUAUAUAUUUAAUAUGCAGAAUAUGCAUGUAAUAUGCAGAAGCAAGUAAUCCACAGCCAUAGCCUUUUGGGGAUAAAAGCUUUUUUAUACCUAUGGUCAACACAGUGUGCUAAAUUACAGUUGAGACUCAAUACUGAAAGCUCUCAGAACUGCAGAUGAACUAAUUAUUUGAGCAUGGCUGUGUAAGGCACUGAUACGAAACAAAGAAGGCCUAUUACUUUCUAGAAGAGAAGAAUUACAGCAGUUUCCUCAUAUUCAAUAUCCGCCCCAAAAGCAUAUAUCGAAAGAUGUAUUUUUAAACUUCACCUGAUUUAAAACAAUCUAAAAGAAAGAAGAAAGAGAAAUGUCCAGACCUUCCUAAACUAGUUUAUUUCAUUUUGAUCAGUCCUAUCUGUUUUAAGUAUAAUAUCUUAAAUUUUGUAAGCACAUAGAAGCUAACUGCUGCUUGCUACGAAGCCCCUGUUUUUUUUAGGAAAAUAGUUCUGUUGUGCUAAGAUCUAGAAAAUGUUACACCCUCUCAAUUAGUUGUUUCUAAUGGUGAAGUUACAUGGUUUAUUUGUUUUUUUAACUAGGAUCAUUUCACGAAUACUUGUGGUCCCACAUUUACAGUGCAGCCCACAAAUGGUGGGGAAACUAACUGUGAUGAGGGGUUAGGAGUGGGCUGGACGAGGGACAGGGACUUUGUAAGCUGGCUUUGCCAUUACCAAAAUGUUUAUGCAACUACAUAAAAAUAUUAAUGUGAAAACAGACUGAAAGAGGUAUUUAUAUAUACUUACAAUUAUGUUAUAUUGAAGCAAAUAUUAAUAUAAAUGUAUACUACCAGUUAAAGCUACACUACUUUGUUAUGUUUGAUUAGCAUAAAAGACAUGUUUUCUACUUCUGUUGUAGUAAUGAACACAAGCAAUAAAAGCACCAUUUGUUAUGAGGGAA
Long non-coding RNA from Dromaius novaehollandiae (emu), 3464 nucleotides. RefSeq lists it as uncharacterized. NCBI's taxonomy places the organism in Eukaryota, Metazoa, Chordata, Aves, Casuariiformes, Dromaiidae. The record is from RefSeq and is a predicted model, not a curated record. The transcript has 3 exons.